GGCACAGUGGCUUAGUGGUUAGCAUUUGCCCCGCACCUGCAGGGUUGGGGGUUCAAAUCCUACCUUUGCCC
This is a non-coding RNA of Ameiurus melas (black bullhead), 71 nucleotides long. NCBI's taxonomy places the organism in Eukaryota, Metazoa, Chordata, Actinopteri, Siluriformes, Ictaluridae. The record is from the annotation of a GenBank genome assembly.